GCUGCCGGCCAAAGGGCUGUGGAACCACCCGUACCCAUUCCGAACACGGAAGUUAAACACAGCUCCGUCCUAGGUGGUAGUGAGGUCUUCGGCCUCGCGAAGCCUAGGAAGCUGGCAGCU
This 120-nucleotide ribosomal RNA is filed under the name archaeon. RNAcentral also lists the same sequence under 1 other name. The record is from RNAcentral.